GAUGAACGCUGGCGGCGUGUCUAAUACAUGCAAGUCGAGCGAACGGACGAGAAGCUUGCUUCUCUGAUGUUAGCGGCGGACGGGUGCGUAACACGUGGAUAACCUACCUACAAGACUGGGAUAACUUCGGGAAACCGGAGCUAAUACCGGAUGAUCUUUUGAACUGCAUGGUUAAAAAGUGAAAGACGGUCUUGCUGUCACUUAUAGAUGGAUCCGCGCUGCAUUAGCUAGUUGGUAAGGUAACGGCUUACCAAGGCAACGAUGCAUAGCCGACCUGAGAGGGUGAUCGGCCACACUGUUACUGCGACACGGUCCAGACUCCUACGGGAGGCAGCAGUAGGGAAUCUUCCGCAAUGGACGAAAGCCUGACGGAGCAACGCCGCGUAAGUGAUGAAGGUCUUCGGAUCGUAAAACUCUAUUAUUAGGGAAAAACAUAUGCGUAAGUAACUGUGCACAUCUUGACGGUACCUAAUCAGAAAGCCACGGCUGACUACGUG
RNAcentral lists this ribosomal RNA (497 nucleotides) under uncultured bacterium. RNAcentral describes it as "partial 16S ribosomal RNA". It matches the Rfam family "Bacterial small subunit ribosomal RNA", at positions 28 to 507 of the family's 1533-position model. The record is from RNAcentral.